This is a long non-coding RNA of Macadamia integrifolia, 373 nucleotides long. RefSeq lists it as uncharacterized. Lineage: Eukaryota; Viridiplantae; Streptophyta; Magnoliopsida; Proteales; Proteaceae. The record is from RefSeq and is a predicted model, not a curated record. The transcript has 2 exons.
UGAAGAGCUUCUCAUCUGGUAAGAGGGAAGGUGGAGAUUUUGUUGCAGCCUGCAUGUCGCCAAAUGCAGAAUGGAUUUACUGUGUUGGUGAAGAUAGGAAUAUGUAUUGCUUCAGCCAUCAAUCUGGUAAACUGGAGCAUCUAAUGAAGGUUAGCAUCAAUAAGUAGAGGCAGUGCUUUUAUUUUCAAGAAAAGUUUAGGCAAGUAGGAUGUGACUGAAUUUAUGUCUUAUGUCAGCAUGACUAUACUUGGGUCAUAAGUCAUGACCACCAGAUCAAUAUGAUUUAACUUUUAAAUUAGAAUACACGGGAUUUCCCCUGUGACCGAUAUCAUUAUAAUUUCUCAAAUAAUAAUAGUUGUGUAAUGUACUGUCA